Molecule: RNA transcript, 984 nt
Organism: Ipomoea triloba (trilobed morning glory)
Lineage: Eukaryota; Viridiplantae; Streptophyta; Magnoliopsida; Solanales; Convolvulaceae
Exons: 5
Source: RefSeq, a predicted model, not a curated record
AACCAUCACUCCUCACUCUCUCAUGUAUCUCUUCUUCUUCUUCAAGCUUCAUCUUCUUCCCAAGAACCCUAGGCUCCAAUUGGUAAGAUUCUUCCUCUUAUUUCUCUUCUUUCAUCUCUUGGUUAGCUUGUUCUUGUAGAGAUAUUCAUAAGGAUUUUGUUGGUUAUUGCUUUGUUGUGGUUUGAGGAUGGGAGUAUGGUGGUGUUGUGCUUUAGCUUGGGAGAAGGAAGAAAGGUUAUUCAAGCUUAGGAGUGAUUUUGAGUAUUUAAGCUUUGAGGUUCUCGUUGAAGUGACUAGUUUGUGAGUGAGCCUAGAUUGGAGCUUAACUUUGAGCCCUCUCGCCGAUCUAGUCUCCCUCCUCACGCCGUCUAGACGUUUUUGCCUCCCCGAUGUCGUCGCUGAUCCACCAGAGUCCUCUCUUCCCGCUUCCGCCACCGUCGAGACAUGGCAUUCUCUUCCCAUCGUUGUCGCCUCUGCAGCCGUCGAGUACCGCCUUUGCCGUAGUUGAGCUGUCGCCUCUGCUGCCGUCGAGUUGUCUCUUUUGCCGCCGUCGAGCUGUCUCCCCUGCCGCCGUCGUUAAUCGUCAUGUCCAUUACCAUCCUAUAGUUGUGAAUGUUAUGUUGAUCUUACUCCAAGACUUCUUCAAGAUGAACAAGAUUCAGGCUAACAUGAGCUAUGUAGUAAUGACCAAUGCUUGAAAGCUCUUGAGUUUAUGAGAUCAACGGGACUGGCGCUACAUUUAUUGAAGUCUUGGCUGCAGAGGAAGGGUUAGGCAUUCUUGAAGGAGAUUUUUUGGAGCUGGAUGACCUUCUCUGCCCACUUUUGGGCAUCGACUAAUUUAGUUUAGUGUUGUGUUGAACUUUACUGUCGAUAAACAAUUUAAAAGGAUUAGAUUUCUCUAAGAGAAAGAUGGAUUAACACUAAGUGAUACAUCAUAAGAAAUACAAUACCCAAUCUUAGAAUCACUUCACUUAUGAGUGAUUA